Molecule: long non-coding RNA, 6574 nt
Filed under: Medicago truncatula (barrel medic)
Lineage: Eukaryota; Viridiplantae; Streptophyta; Magnoliopsida; Fabales; Fabaceae
Description: long non-coding RNA (MTRU_LNC002599)
Source: RNAcentral
UUGUUAAAAAAAAAAUACAUUAAUAAAUAAAAACAAUAAAAAGGAAAAUAAAGGAAAAAAAUAAUUGAAUCUUCAUGUUAAUCUCACGAAUCCUAGAUAUUGUCAAUAGAAUCUCUGAACCUCAAUCUCACCGCACAGAAACCUCAAUCGAACCCUCAAUCUCUCAGAACUCUGAAUCGAAUCCUUUAACUCACCCACUGAAAUCUCAAUCGAUCCCUCAAUCUCUCAGAAUCCUGAAUCAAACUUCAGUCUCAAACUCUCAAGUUCAAUCACCCUCACCUCACUUAAAUCUCAAUCGAAGAGGUAAAUAUUUUUUUUUAUUUCGUUAGAUUUAUGGGUUGUGUGAACUAUCUUUGAUUUUUGUUUUUGCAAUUGAAUGUUUGUUUUGUAUAAGUUUACUUAUUUUUGUUUUUCCAUGUGAUUGAAUGCAGUAAUUUGUGCAAAUAUAUGUUCAAGACCUGUUCAAAUUUAGGCGAUUCUAGCUUUAAAGUUGAGAAUUUUUUUGGAGGCAUAACAAAUUCGUGAGUUCUUUUUCAUCAUUCUCAUUUUAUUCUAAUGUUAAUGGUUUACUUGCUAAAACCAAAAUAAUGGCUACCUUAAUUAUAUUUAGUUCAUACAAUCUAAUUCAUUUCAUCAUAUUCCAUAUGGUGAAAGAAAUUAAAGUGUUAUCUUGGAAACAAUUUUUUAGUAGAUCAAAAAACUAUCCAUGAUAAUUCUAUGAAAGUUGUUGGGAUCUUAGUAAUUGUCUAUUAAGAUUGUUUGGGAUUAAGGUUGAAGGUGCUUUAGUUCGGUGAUAACCAAUGUUUUGGAUACUUUUGAGGUCUGUUUUGGAGAAGUUAGCAGUUUUUGUUUUUCUGCUGAUACAGACUGUUUGUUUUGGUUUGUGGGGCUGGUUCUGUUUUUGGGUCAGCCUUGUCAAAAUGGGGGUGUGGCUGUUGAAUUUGUUGGUGUUCUAUAGGGUGUUGAUCUUGUUUUUUGAGGUGUUCCGUCUAUAUGUGGCACCUCUAUUUGUAUGUCUUGCAUUUUGCUAGUUUGUGUGUCUUGUACGAGCUAUGCAUUAAUAUAAACUCGUUAAUUAAAAAAGAAAAUAUUCUAUAUGGGUUUGUUUCAUUAUUAGUUAACUGAAUAGAAAUUUAGGAUCUUGAACUCAUUGAUGAUAUAUAUAUUUUUAAAUCAAAUGGAUUUACAAUAAUAUGCUUAAAGGAAUGAUUUUUAUGUGUGGAAAUCAAAUAGGUAUGUACGUUAAAAAUCAUAACCAGUAAAAGAUGUCCAUUUAGUUUCUAAACCAUUGUAUGUUCUAUUCAUGAAUAGUCAUGAUGCCUUGUUAUUAUUUAUUCAUUUCAAAUUGAAUUUGGUGGCAUUUGGUUCUCCGUUUUUGUCUACCAACUUAAAUAACCUUGACAUAGCCCUUGGUUUUCUUUGUUGCUUUGCUACUUUCUUCAUCUACUAGGUGAAUUAUUUGAGUGUAUUGAAUACUUAAUGUUGACUUGUCAUUGUACAAUUACUAUUACUGUCCCAAUUUGAAGUUAAUUUACGUAAUGCUGUUAAUGGACAGUGAGUUAAGAUUUUUUGUAUGCUUAUCUUAUUUUUAGACUAUGAACAACUAAUAAUUCUUGUAGGUGAUAAUUCUUGCCUAUGGUAAGGGUNCAAACUUCUUCCUGCAUCAAAAUAUUAGAGAGGUCUUUUUCUACAAUCUUAAUUUGAGAGAUAAUAUCUUUAGAUGGAAUCUGGUCUUUAAGCAAACCAAGAUGAGUUUGUAUGAGAUUUAUUUUGUUAGGUAGAUCACCAAAUUGUGAUUUACCCCGUCUGCUAAGCUAGUGUAAAGUAGCUUGAAUUUUGACAGUAUUAUCGCCAUUAGUCAUAUUCCAAAUAGUUUUAACAAUAUUAAAGCUCUCUUUAUCAUGAGUCCACACCUCUUCAAACCUUUGGAUUUUCUGCCUUUUAAAUCUAUGGUCCCUGCAUUCACUCUUGUCCCAAAAUUCAAGUAAAAUAGGAGAAUGAUCAGAGGAGUAUCUAAGCAAAUGAUAAUUAGUGUAUCUAGGAAAUUCAUUAAUCCAAGACUCACUAGCACAAUAUCUGUCAAGCUUUUCUUUGAUGUGAUUAGAGAAUUCUUGGUUAUUAGCCCAUGUGAACUUGUUACCAUGAUAACCAAGGUCAAACAAACCACAGUUGUUAAGAGUCUCUUGAAAAAGAGUACAAAGGUUCUGAUCAGUAUGGUUUCCCCCAUGUUUUUCAGAGCUGUUCAGGUGUAAGUUGAAAUCACCAAAUAAAAUCCAUUUUUCUGCUUGUUUACUAUUAAAGAGAUUAUUAAUAGUGUCACAAGUUAACUGUUUUUGAGAUUGGUAGGGGAAACCAUACAUACUAGUAGCAUUCCAAAUCUCAUUAUUUAUAGGGUCCAAAACAUAAAAAUCAAUCAACAUUUUAUUAUAAGCUAUAAUGUGAAGAUUUACAUCAUUAUGCCAAAUAAGAGCAAGACCACCUGACCUACCUCCACCUCCAGUCUCACAAUCCACAAUAAAGUGGUUCUGAAGGUGAUUAUGACACAGCUUACUUGAGACUUUAGAAUCUGACUGCUUGAGUUUUAUUUCCAUUAGGAAAAUGAUAUCUGGACUCUUAGACCUAUGGAGCCUUUUAUAUGCUUGAACUGCAGCUGGGUUACCUAACCCUCUGCAGUUCCAAGAUAGGAUCCUCAUAUUCCUUGGCUGGCCUUGUUGUCAAGGCCUGCCAUUAUAACAUAUCUAUCCUUAAUCUCCUCAAAAUUUAAACUGGUACCACUAGCUGCUGCAUUUUUCCUUUUGAGCUUAAUUGUUUGUAGUAUGAUGUCUGGAUUUUUCCAACUACUGUGUUGUUCAUUCCUUGCUUGUCCUGUGUGUUCAGAAGUGGUUUCCUGCAGAUUAUCCUCUUGUACAGUCAGAUCCUCCAUCAUGUCAGAUAAGCCUUUAGGAAUGGGGCUAAACUGACCCCCACUUUAGAGAAUUCCUAACAUUGCUUCUGAAAGUUUUCUCCUUUCUUUCAACAAGUCUUCUGCCAUAGUUGUUUGAGCGUAACCAAGCACCCCUUGGAUUGGUUCCUUCCUUUUCAUUAUCAGGAUUUUCUUCCCUUUUCUGUGAACAAAUUUCCUUCGUGUGGCCAACUAACCCACAGUAAAAGCAAAACAUAGGGAGAUUUUCAUAGCGAAAAUAAACCCAGUUGAUACCAUCUACUUUGUUACCAAUGUACAAACCAGCCCUUAUGGGAUUGUUGAUAUUGAAUUGCACUUUAAUCUUCACAAAAUUUGCCUUGUCUGACAUCUCAUAUACUGCAGAGUCAAUAACUUCUCCUAUUUGUUCACCUAUGGCUGUCCCCAUCUCAGCAGACCUACAAUGCAUAGGCAGUCCCCAAAAUUGAAUGCAGAUGGGGACAUUAGAAAAAUCUAAUUCCUUAGGCAGCUUCUUCCUGUCCCAUGAAUGCAACACAAGCCAAAUAUUUCUCACAAUCCAUGGGCUGCCCUUCAAAAUUCUCUGAGUAUCUUCUGCUUUUUCCAUUAAAAAUUUGUAAGUUUUCCCUUCCAAUUCUACAAUCUUGAAUCCCACUGGUUUUCCCGAAAUCCCAUUCAGAGUGUUUUGAAUUUGUUGAAGAGGAACUAUCUUAUUAGACAAAAACAUACCAAUUACGCUGUUUUGGCAAUUUUUAAUGCUUUCUUUGACAUAGCUUUCCUGGUAAUAGAAGAAAGGCUCCUCUUGAGAGUUUCUUUGAGGAGUCUGUUGGUGCUCAGUAGUGUUGGAGAAAGCCUGAUUGUGUGUUUGUUGUUUUCUAACAGGAUUGGAUUGCUUUGAGUGGCCACCACUGCUAGAGCUUACACCUCGCUGGUUGAUAUUUUCCUGAUACUGCAGCAUAGGUACCAUAAGAGGAGUUUGAAGUUUCUGAAUCUUGAAUGGUCUCAUAAUAUCAUUGCCAGUGGGUUGUGUUGAAGGACUUUGUGAAUCUUGGAUAAUUUCUUUGCCGUUACGGGUACUCAUGGUUCAAGAAUAAGCAGAUUGUGACAAGGCGAGAAUAAUGGAGAGAAAGGUUAAAAUUCUCAAAGAUAGAACAAGUUGGGGCAAAAGGUAGAUGAUAACAGAAUUGAAAAACAAACAAAGACAGAGGAGAACCGAGCAAUUAGCUCCACCAAGAACAAUUAAAGUAAAAACUGGAAAUCACCAACAAUCAUCCAAAGAUGCAACCUAAAAUACAACUACCCAGAAACACAAGGAUUCAGGGAGGAAAAAAAGGGAUCAAAUAACGAGGAAAGGAUAGGAUGAGGAACAAGGGGUCACAGAAUCUAGCAAGGAGUAAUUGAAAUUCAAGAAAACGAAGAGAAGAAGAGGAAGACUAGGUUAAGAACAGAGUGGAGAGACUCAUGGUUCCAAUCCUAAAGAAGAAGGAGAAGAAAGCGAUGAAGGUGGAUCUUGAUUUGAGAUACCAGAAUCUUGGAGCCUUUGUAUGGCUGGUAGCUAUUGUAAAACAAUAUUGAAAUAACUUUAGCUAACACAAUUCUUAUUCUUAUCUUUGAUUGUCUAUAUUGUUAACAGUUUCAACAAAGAUUGAAAUAAUUGAUUUUAUUAAUGAUUAAAAAAUAAUAUUAAAUGAAAUAUAUUAUAAUAAUUUAAUAAAUGACUAUGGAAGCUUGUUUUACAUGAAAAUUAAUAUGGACUGUUAAAAGUCCCAAAAACAAAGUUAUUACAAAAAUAUAAUAAUUGUACUAAAAUAUAACUAUUGACUAUGAAUUCAAAAUAACUCUUUUUAGAAUUUGCUUCAGAUAUCAAUAUGCAUUGGGUUUAGCCUAAUUCCAACUCAUUAUAGAAGAAGAACAAAACAUAUUUACAAACUUUGAAAACAUGAUAGAGGAUUACAUUACAAAUAUGUAAAACCAUAUCUCAUUGAACCGUCACUUUAGCCUAAUAUCCAAAGUCAUGAUUCUUCCUGCCACUUUCUUAAAGUCUGCAAUUUUACGAAAAAUAAAAUGCUAGUUAUACCAUUUUUUUUUUAAAUUUUUAUCUUUUCUUUCUUUAUGAAUUCCCCAUGCCAUACAGAAUGCGACCUCUUACAACAUUAUCGAUAAUUUCUUCUCUUAACCAACUAUUUAUAAAAUCCAAAAGACUUUGAAACUUUGGAUUGGUAAAAAACAAAAAAUCUGAGGAAAACAAGUUUUCAAAACAAUAGAUAGAAGAGAAGCAUUAGGGUUGGUGAUGAUAACUCUUGAUUUGUAAAAUUUCUCUUGUGGGGAACCAAUCUUGAAACAAUCUCUAUCUUAAAUACUAACUUUUUACGGGACAUCAUUUUUCUAAACAAGAUUCAGAGCUUGUUUACGGAUUUGGUCCAAUGAGUAACAAGAUAUUGUGAAAAAAGAAGAAUAAAAGGCGAUGGGUGGUGCAUGGUGAUGGCUACAAAAAUUAACUUAACUCUUCUUGAUCAUAAGAAGAAUUCAAUUACUUAAUACCAUGUACAUGCACUUCAAAGCUUCCAUCACUCAACUUGAAUCUAAGCACUUCCCUUCUUCUUUACCCCCGCAUCAUGGAAACAAAAAGGAACAAACAACAAUGUUUAGCCCAAUGAUACCAAAAUUUCUUAAUAUCAUUUGUCUCAAGUUUUAUUAAUCUGUACAACUAACCAUUUUCUUUGGAGUAAAAUUUUACAAAUGCCUUCUUUACUUCAAGGCGAUCACAAGCUUAUUUUAAUCUCAAUAUUUAGUUUAUAGAUAUUUAUAAAUUACAAUAAUUACAAUAAUUGUUUUCCCUUUGUGCUUAUCAAAAUUUACACACACACACAAAUUUUGGAAGGUAAAAAAACCGUCCUGGUAGAGUCCCAUGGACAACGAUUUUCUGAUUUUGUUGUAGUAGGGUAUGAUAUUUUUUAAAUUUUUUUGUAACGACUCAAAAGCGUUGUGAUAUAAGAAACAAGAACGGAUUUUUAUUUGUUAUUUUCGUCAACAUGUAUUAAUUGUUCUGGUAUAAUUUUUAAUUUAUUUUUAAUAAAAGUACGAAUAGUACCUUCUUUAAAUACCGUUCUUAAAAACUGUAACAAAAAAAAUCUUAAUAUAAAACAGAAAACACACCUUUUUGAAAAACAAAUAACUAGCACUAUUAAUAUAUAUAAAAAAAAAAAAAACAUUUUGUACCAACAAAAAACAAAAAAGAUACGGUUCUAAAAAAACAAAUAACUUUGUUAAAAAAAAAAAACAAAUAACUAGCACUAUUUUUGGUGAAAGAUAAAUUUCCUCAAUAAAACAUACAAUUUCCUCUUAAGAAAACUAUUGUUAAAAAAAAAAUACAUUAAUAAAUAAAAACAAUAAAAAGGAAAAUAAAGGAAAAAAAUAAUUGAAUCUUCAUGUUAAUCUCACGAAUCCUAGAUAUUGUCAAUAGAAUCUCUGAACCUCAAUCUCACCGCACAGAAACCUCAAUCGAACCCUCAAUCUCUCAGAACUCUGAAUCGAAUCCUUUAACUCACCCACUGAAAUCUCAAUCGAUCCCUCAAUCUCUCAGAAUCCUGAAUCAAACUUCAGUCUCAAACUCUCAAGUUCAAUCACCCUCACCUCACUUAAAUCUCAAUCGAAGAG